CUUUAUGGCUAAAUUAGAGAUUGAUGCCUAUCUAUUUUAUAUUAAUUUGGAUUAUUAUAAUGUCUCUAAGUUUUAAUACGAAAGCCAAAAUAAUUGCUGAUUUUGGCAGAAAUAAU
This is a regulatory RNA element of Baumannia cicadellinicola str. Hc (Homalodisca coagulata), 116 nucleotides long. It matches the Rfam family "Ribosomal S15 leader". From Rfam's summary of the family: The E. coli Ribosomal S15 gene 5' UTR can form two alternative structures. One that is a series of three hairpins, The other includes a pseudoknot. The record is from Rfam. NCBI's taxonomy places the organism in Bacteria, Pseudomonadati, Pseudomonadota, Gammaproteobacteria.